This 271-nucleotide ribosomal RNA is filed under the name uncultured bacterium. RNAcentral's name for it is "partial small subunit ribosomal RNA". It matches the Rfam family "Bacterial small subunit ribosomal RNA", at positions 26 to 285 of the family's 1533-position model. The record is from RNAcentral.
AGAAUCAACGCUGGCGGCGUGCCUAACACAUGCAAGUCGAACGCGAAAGUCCCGCAAGGGAUAAGUAGAGUGGCAAACGGGUGAGUAACACGUGGGUGACCUGCCUUCGAGUGGGGGAUAACGUCCCGAAAGGGACGCUAAUACCGCAUGACAUCCUGCUUUUUAAGAGGUGGAGAUCAAAGCCGGGGAUCGCAAGACCUGGCGCUUGAAGAGGGGCCCGCGCCUGAUUAGCUAGUUGGUGGGUAACGGCUCACCAAGGCUUCGAUCAGUA